This 449-nucleotide ribosomal RNA is filed under the name uncultured bacterium. Its description in RNAcentral is "partial 16S ribosomal RNA". It matches the Rfam family "Bacterial small subunit ribosomal RNA", at positions 29 to 523 of the family's 1533-position model. The record is from RNAcentral.
AGCGAACGCUGGCGGCAGGCUUAACACAUGCAAGUCGAACGCAUCCUUCGGGGUGAGUGGCAGACGGGUGAGUAACACGUGGGAACGUACCUCUUUGUUCGGAAUAGCUUUUGGAAACGAAAGGUAAUACCGGAUACGCCCUUUUGGGGAAAGAUUUAUCGCAGAGAGAUCGGCCCGCGUCUGAUUAGCUAGUUGGUGAGGUAAUGGCUCACCAAGGCGACGAUCGGUAGCUGGUCUGAGAGGAUGAUCAGCCACACUGGGACUGAGACACGGCCCAGACUCCUACGGGAGGCAGCAGUGGGGAAUAUUGGACAAUGGGCGCAAGCCUGAUCCAGCCAUGCCGCGUGAGUGAUGAAGGCCUUAGGGUUGUAAAGCUCUUUUGUCCGGGAAGAUAAUGACUGUACCGGAAGAAUAAGCCCCGGCUAACUUCGUGCCAGCAGCCGCGGUAA